CAGAGGUCUCAACCGUUGUUCGGAUUCAUUGGGCGUAAAGGGUGCGUAGGCGGCGGAGUAAGUCAGGUGUGAAAUCUCGGGGCUCAACCCCGAAAUGCACUUGAUACUGCUUCGCUCGAGUACUGGAGAGGAGACUGGAAUUUACGGUGUAGCAGUGAAAUGCGUAGAUAUCGUAAGGAAGACCAGUGGCGAAGGCGAGUCUCUGGACAGUUACUGACGCUGAGGCACGAAGGCCAGGGGAGCAAACGGGAUUAGAUACCCCGGUAGUCCUGGCAGUAAACGGUGCACGUUUGGUGUGGGAGGAUUCGACCCCUUCCGUGCCGGAGCUAACGCGUUAAACGUGCCGCCUGGGAAGUACGGUCGCAAGAUUA
Molecule: ribosomal RNA, 371 nt
Filed under: uncultured organism
Description: bacterial SSU rRNA
Rfam family: Bacterial small subunit ribosomal RNA
Source: RNAcentral